CUCUGGAAAGCAGAACAGGCGGCGGGAUGACGUCCCCGGGCCGUUCUCACCGAAGAUGGAAGCCGGCGGUCCGACCCCGGUGACUCUUUCAGGUUUCGAGACAGAG
Molecule: non-coding RNA, 106 nt
Filed under: Rhodospirillum rubrum
Lineage: Bacteria; Pseudomonadati; Pseudomonadota; Alphaproteobacteria; Rhodospirillales; Rhodospirillaceae
Also listed under: 1 other name
Description: Glycine sequence
Rfam family: Glycine riboswitch aptamer
About the family: This family represents the bacterial glycine riboswitch. Glycine riboswitches usually consist of two metabolite-binding aptamers domains with similar structures in tandem.
Source: RNAcentral